Molecule: Y RNA, 115 nt
Filed under: Microcebus murinus (gray mouse lemur)
Lineage: Eukaryota; Metazoa; Chordata; Mammalia; Primates; Cheirogaleidae
Description: Y RNA (ENSMICG00000044753.1)
Rfam family: Y RNA
About the family: Y RNAs are components of the Ro ribonucleoprotein particle (Ro RNP), in association with Ro60 and La proteins. The Y RNAs and Ro60 and La proteins are well conserved, but the function of the Ro RNP is not known. In humans the RNA component can be one of four small RNAs -- hY1, hY3, hY4 and hY5.
Source: Rfam by way of RNAcentral
AGCUGGUCCUAAGGUAGUGAGUUAACUCACUUGAUUGUUUACACUCAGUUACAGAUUGAACUCUUUGUUCUACUACUUCCCCACCCCCAUCACUACUGCACUUGACUAGUCAAUA